RNAcentral lists this ribosomal RNA (117 nucleotides) under candidate division Kazan bacterium RIFCSPHIGHO2_01_FULL_44_14. RNAcentral also lists the same sequence under 1 other name. The record is from RNAcentral.
CUCCGUGAUGAUAGCGAGGAGGUCACACCUCUUCCCAUCUCGAACAGAGCAGUUAAGCUCCUCAGCGCCGAUGAUAGUUGGACCGCAAGGUCCUGCAAAAGUAGGUCGUCGCGGGGA